This 64-nucleotide transfer RNA is filed under the name Phaonia tuguriorum. RNAcentral's name for it is "tRNA-Ile". Lineage: Eukaryota; Metazoa; Arthropoda; Insecta; Diptera; Muscidae. The record is from RNAcentral.
GAUGAAUUGCCUGAAUAAAGGGCUGCUCUGAUAGGGCAAAUCAUGUAAAUUAUUACAUUCAUUA